CCAGGAGUCCUGGCUCCCAGCCCCGCCUACUCUAACCCACCAGCCCCCACUCCCCUCCCAGAGCUGGGGAGAGAACCCAGGAGUCCUGGCUCCCUGCCCCGCCUGCUCUCACCCACCAGCCCCCACUCCCCUCCCAGAGCUGGGAGAGAACCCAGGAGUCCUGGCUCCCCUACUCUGGCUCCAGUUACUCUGCCUGGCAGGCCUGUGGAGGAAGGGGGGGCGCAGCCAGCCCUGGGCACCGCAUGCCAUGGCCGUGGCGCCAUCGGGCAGGGCUUGAAGUCAAGUCCCCUCUGCCCCACGGUGCCCCCUAGCGUGGGGCUCCCGCCCCCUGGGGCGGACUCACUCCUUGGUGACAGUGAUGCAGGCGACCUCCCCGUGCGCCCGGCAGGUGGCUGUCCGGCGGAUGUUGCUGCAGAGAGGAGAGAGGCCAUGAGGGAGGCCGGGGGGCUGUGCGGUGCGGGGUGGGGACAGGAGACUUGGCGUCUCUACUGGGACGGGGAGCCAGGGACUGGGGGUCUGCGCCCUGGGUGUGGGCUGGGAGUGUCCGUCUGGGGGCGGGGAGCGGAGACACUGGGGGGCAAGUACCGGGGAGCCCGCCUGCGCUGGGGGGUGACAGGGGUGGGGAGAGCGCCGGAGAGAGCGCACAUCCGGCUGCAAGCACCCACAUGGGUCCUGCAGUGUGCGCGCGCGCAUGCGUGUAUGUGCCGGACCCCACAGUGUGUGUGUGCGUUGCACGUCUGGCUGCAAGUGCCCGCGUGGGCCCCUGCUGUGCGCGUGCCAGGGCCGGCUGGGCGGGGCCGAGGGGCUCCAGGGCGGCACCUACCGCAGCAGCGACAGCUCCCCGAAGUGCUCGCCGGCUCGCAGCACCCGGAUCUGCUCCUCCCGCCCGUGCACGCGCCUGCUGACCCGAACCUGCAGGGAGAUGGGGGCUGGGGCAUCGCUCCUGGGGGGGCUGGAGGGGCAAGAGGCCCUGGGCUGGCAGAGGAGCCCAGUUCGGGGGGGCUGGAGGGGGCAGGGGGCCCAGGGGCACAGCAGGGCAGGGGACUGGUACUGUUUACACCUGGGCUCUCUGAAGGGAGCAGCACCCCGACCCCCAGGCUCCCCAGAGUCACCUACCAGCCCCCAAAGUGCCCCUGCUCCCCUGUGGCCGCGGAGCCGGGAGUGGGCUCUGGUAGGGUUACCAUAUUUAACAAAUAAAAAAAGAGGACCCUCCACGGGGCCCUGGCCCCGCCCAUUUCCCCACCCCUUCCCCGCCCCAACUCC
This 1263-nucleotide long non-coding RNA is filed under the name Terrapene triunguis (Three-toed box turtle). RNAcentral describes it as "Terrapene carolina triunguis (Three-toed box turtle) lncRNA (ENSTMTG00000017518.1)". Lineage: Eukaryota; Metazoa; Chordata; Testudines; Emydidae. The record is from RNAcentral.